CUCUCGGUAGCCAAGUUGGUCUAAGGCGCAAGACUGUAAAUCUUNAGAUCGGGCGUUCGACUCGCCCCCGGGAGA
Molecule: transfer RNA, 75 nt
Filed under: Saccharomyces kudriavzevii FM1072
Lineage: Eukaryota; Fungi; Ascomycota; Saccharomycetes; Saccharomycetales; Saccharomycetaceae
Description: tRNA-Tyr (GTA) (tRNA-Tyr-GTA-1-1)
Rfam family: tRNA
About the family: Transfer RNA (tRNA) molecules are approximately 80 nucleotides in length. Their secondary structure includes four short double-helical elements and three loops (D, anti-codon, and T loops).
Source: RNAcentral